UGCGCUUACAAUCCGUCAGAGCCCUCGACUUGUCGUGGGGUGAUGGCGUGCCUUUUGAAGAAUGAGCCUGCGAGUCAGGGACAUGUCGCGAGGUUAACCCGUGUGGGGUAGCCGUAGCGAAAGCGAGUCUGAAUAGGGCGUAUCCCCGUUAGGGGUGUAGUGGCGUGUUCUGGACCCGAAGCGGAGUGAUCUACCCAUGGCCAGGGUGAAGCAGCAGUAAGAUGUUGUGGAGG
This 233-nucleotide ribosomal RNA is filed under the name Mycolicibacterium komossense. RNAcentral describes it as "partial 23S ribosomal RNA". It matches the Rfam family "Bacterial large subunit ribosomal RNA", at positions 559 to 772 of the family's 2925-position model. The record is from RNAcentral. Lineage: Bacteria; Bacillati; Actinomycetota; Actinomycetes; Mycobacteriales; Mycobacteriaceae.